UCACAGCCUGCACUGAGUUCCAGUGAUCUGGUUUGACUGACACCAGUGCUCACAGGUUUUCCCUCUGAAGUGGCACAUGAGCUCUGCCUCUCCUGUCCUGCCUGUGCACCUUCUGUCCUACAUGACCAAGAUCUUCCUCUGCACCCCUGGGAGGAUGCCUGCUCGCUGCUCAUAAACUUCACCUGUCUUGGAGAGAAGUUACCAGAAUAGAGCUUAUGAGGUUGGAGGAACUUGGGAGAUGCCUGCUUGACUGUGGGUGAGAAAGACAGGUUAGCAAGUAUAUUCCCACAAGUAUGCUAACCCUGGUCUGGCCUUGGUAGGAAUCAGGAUGGAUAAUACAGCUUUUAAUGUGCUUUGCCUCUGCUGCUGAGCUGCACUCUCAACGCUGUACUGUGGUGUGCACACAAAGGACACGGCUCUAGGUGAAGGAAUGAUGAUCAUGCAAAAAGUGAAUUGAGAAUGCCAGGUGUCUUACAUUUUAUGGGAUAGUGGACUGGUGAACAAGAGCUUUUCUUACAGCCCUCCUCUGCUUUUGCUGCUUGCAGUACUGUCAGCAAGCCUCACUGGUUUGGAAGGAGUGGAGAUGAGUUGCCAGCUGCUGUUUCUCAUCUCGUGGGUUUGAAGAGCUGUUUCUCACUGACACUGGCCUGAAGUCUAUAAACACUCAUUCCUGGGGUAACCACAAGAAGAUUUUCCAGAGCAAAGGCCACUAAAACACUGUCUGCAGUGCAUGGGGAAAGCUUCAGAAUGGAAACUGAGAUGGAGCCUGAUAUUCCAUUUGUUUUAGUAACAGUGUCUUGAGCUGAGAAGGAAAAUGCAUGCAAUUAACAAAUUUAAUUAUACUGGUAUUUUUUCUUGCUUUUAGUCCUGAGAACAAAGGAGUAGUUCAUGGUGAGGAGUGAACCCAAAACUCUGAAGUAUAGACUACAAACUUUGGUUUAAUAAUUUCUGUUAAUCAUCAGAACAAUCUUUGUAAAUUCAA
Long non-coding RNA from Vidua chalybeata, 982 nucleotides. RefSeq lists it as uncharacterized. The record is from RefSeq and is a predicted model, not a curated record. Lineage: Eukaryota; Metazoa; Chordata; Aves; Passeriformes; Viduidae. The transcript is spliced from 4 exons.